RNAcentral lists this microRNA precursor (99 nucleotides) under Procavia capensis (Cape rock hyrax). RNAcentral describes it as "miRNA (ENSPCAG00000020555.1)". The record is from RNAcentral. Lineage: Eukaryota; Metazoa; Chordata; Mammalia; Hyracoidea; Procaviidae.
AUCGCCUGAGUCUCCUGUUAAAAUGCAGAUUCUGAUUCAGUAGGUCUAAGGUGCUGCCCAAGAUACUUCAUUUCUAACAAGUUCCCUGGUGAUGCUGCU